This 407-nucleotide ribosomal RNA is filed under the name uncultured rumen bacterium. Its description in RNAcentral is "bacterial SSU rRNA". It matches the Rfam family "Bacterial small subunit ribosomal RNA", at positions 354 to 776 of the family's 1533-position model. The record is from RNAcentral.
GUGGGGAAUAUUGCACAAUGGGCGCAAGCCUGAUGCAGCAACGCCGCGUGAGGGAAGACGGUUUUCGGAUUGUAAACCUCUGUUCUUAGUGACGAAGAAGUGACGGUAGCUAAGGAGCAAGCCACGGCUAACUACGUGCCAGCAGCCGCGGUAAUACGUAGGUGGCAAGCGUUAUCCGGAAUUACUGGGUGUAAAGGGAGCGCAGGCGGGGUAGCAAGUCAGCGGUGAAAAUUAUGGGCUUAACCCAUAAACUGCCGUUGAAACUGUUACUCUUGAGUGGAGUAGAGGCAGGCGGAAUUCCGAGUGUAGCGGUGAAAUGCGUAGAUAUUCGGAGGAACACCAGUGGCGAAGGCGGCCUGCUGGGCUCUAACUGACGCUGAGGCUCGAAAGUGUGGGGAGCAAACAGG